Cygnus atratus (black swan) is the source of this 2278-nucleotide long non-coding RNA. RefSeq lists it as uncharacterized. The record is from RefSeq and is a predicted model, not a curated record. The transcript has 3 exons. NCBI's taxonomy places the organism in Eukaryota, Metazoa, Chordata, Aves, Anseriformes, Anatidae.
UAACUGCCUAUUUGAGACGCCAAAAUAUUGUCAGCUGAAUUUUAAAUGUCAAGGUUAUCUUAAAUAGUACCAUUCCAUUCUGAAUGCCUCCCAUUUGAGGACCAUAACCAACCUAUAAACAAUAAUGAAUUUAUUUUCUCAGUAGCCCUAUGAGUUAGGAAAUAAGCAUUAGAACCACAUUUACACUAGGGUAAAGUAAAAUAUGAAAUACUGUAGUGUUAUAUGAAUAUAGCUUCACUGGGCAUCAUGAUUUUUUCCCAAUUUACAACCAUCACAAACUAAAACAAAUCAGGCACUUCUCCUUAUCUGAAAUCAAACAGGAACGAUUAUGUCUAAGAAAGCAUUUACAUAUGUAUCCAAAUAAAUAUUUAAGUGGAAUCUCUGCAUCUCGGCUGAAGAGAUCAAUCAAAGAAAACCCUGAAGGUCCAUAAACUGUGCUGUCACAUUGCCCAGUAUGGUCACUGAUGACACCAUAUAUACAGGAGAGCUACACCCUUCUCAAAGGUAACCUGUUCAGUUACUUGAAAUAACUUCUGCACAUGUUGAUUUUGAAGACAGGAUUUGAGGGUCAAAAAACAAUGUCAGCAUCAGCCUACAACCUUGACCUGGGUGUCUAAAUUUCAGGAACAGGGAGGGAAAGGGAAUUCAGGCAUACUUUGCUACUCAUUAUUUCCUUUUGGCUUUCUGUUGGAACCUAUUUUGUUUUGGUGGUUGUCUGAAGAAAUGAAAGACAUUAGGACAAAGGAAAUUGAAUACUUUCAAUUAAAGAAGCCUGAUUUUCUGUAAAUCAAAAAUAACUAAAUCAGACCCUUGGCACUCUGAAGCAGCUCCAGCCCACACCCCCUCUCUCCUACGAGAGCACCCUGGUUGCUAAUGCUGACGUGUGCAUUGCAGGGGGGAGUCAGGACAGGAGAAAAAAGAACCCUGCUUUUGCUGUCCAAGGAUUGGACAACAAAUGUGAUCUUUGUAUAAAAGCCAAUACAGGCAGGAGGGACAAAGCCAUUCCCCACCUACUCCCUUGCCCACAGAAAUCACACUCAUGCUUUUGAGACACAGUGCUGGAGAUGCAUUGGUUUACUUCACAACACUUCCAGUGUUUCCCCAGCUUUGAAGUGGAAGAAGUUAAGACUGAAGGUUUGGAAUUAAUUCUCAUCUGCCUAGAUUCAGACAUCUGAUUCAGACACCUCAACCUUUUUUUAGUAUUAUUUUCUAAACCUUUAUAGCCCAUACGUAGUUGCACUUAAGCCAGUUCAACUUCAGGACUUCUAAAUAGAGAGGUGACUGUUGAGGUUGUCUGUUGAACUGGAGCUCUCAGCAGACCUGUAAGAAGGCACACAACACUAUCAGGAUUCCUGAAGUCUUCUCUGACCUGGGUAGUGCUAUAAAACAUCCUACAAUUGGCUUCUAAAACAUGACAUUCGAUUGUAAGGCAAAUCCUUGCAGUGAGUAAACACAGGACUUCUGUGGAGCCAAAAGCUGCAAAAAGUACGUUUCUACACAACAUAAGGAAUCAGAUGUCAUCAUCUUUCCUCUCGUACUUCAGGCCUGACUUAAAAGUUGGGCACUUUCCAAGGCAUUAGCUCACUUCCCCAGCAAGACCUAGGGUGCACUGCGCUAGCCAAGAGAGCUCAGCUUUCUAACACCCAUUAAUACUGGUCACAACUGUUUAUGCAUUCCAGCUAACUCUUUUAUGGCCAAGACGCUACCAAGAUAUAGGAUACUGCUUUGUGGAGUUCAGCCAGUGUGAAAAUGAGAUGUUACUAUGCUUUUCUCACCAAAUGAGGUCUCCUAUCAAUUCUUCACUGAGCACUUUGCAUGAUUUCACAGGAAUACAUUGCAUUGUUUCAGUUACAAAUUACUGAUUCACAUGAUAUUGAUAUCCCAAUUGUGAUAUGAGAACUUCAAAAGAAUGUGAUGAACCUUUCUGAACAACAAGCCAAAGGAAAAAAAAAAUAACAUGCCCAAAUAAUCAUAAAAUGCAUACAUCCUAUGCAAAAGGGCUGAGGUAAGAAAAUUCAUGAGUUAUCCAUGAGCGGGUGAGGAUCAUCACUCCACUGAAGAUUAGGUCAGAGCUGAGCAGUAGUGCCUCAGGGCAACCAGUGUCAGAUGUUGGAUGCUCAGCUGGUUCACUUCGUCCUACAGCUGGGGGCUCACAGGGUUCAGCAGCUUCCCAUUUACCACAGUGCCACUGGCAGUUACUAGAGCUGCGUUUGAUCUAUUUGUAGACAUACACAAGACACAUACACAAGACACACAGAAGGGUCAUCUGUGAUUUUUG